CCUACGGGAGGCAGCAGUAGGGAAUAUUGGUCAAUGGGUGGAAGCCUGAACCAGCCAUGCCGCGUGCAGGAAGACGGCCUUCUGGGUUGUAAACUGCUUUUGCCAGGGGAUAAAAAGCUCAUGCGUGAGCAACUGAAGGUACCUGGUGAAUAAGCCACGGCUAACUACGUGCCAGCAGCCGCGGUAAUACGUAGGUGGCAAGCGUUGUCCGGAUUUAUUGGGUUUAAAGGGUGCGUAGGCGGCCUGUUAAGUCAGUGCUGAAAUAUCACAGCUUAACUGUGAGGGUGGCAUUGAUACUGGCGGGCUUGAGUGGAGCCGAGGUAGGCGGAAUUGACGGUGUAGCGGUGAAAUGCUUAGAUAUCGUCAAGAACACCGAUAGUGAAGACAGCUUACUAGACUUCAACUGACGCUGAUGCACGAAAGUGUGGGGAUCAAACAGG
This 440-nucleotide ribosomal RNA is filed under the name uncultured bacterium. RNAcentral's name for it is "bacterial SSU rRNA". It matches the Rfam family "Bacterial small subunit ribosomal RNA", at positions 338 to 776 of the family's 1533-position model. The record is from RNAcentral.